Small nucleolar RNA from Prosopis cineraria, 98 nucleotides. RefSeq annotates it as small nucleolar RNA Z266. The transcript has a single exon. Lineage: Eukaryota; Viridiplantae; Streptophyta; Magnoliopsida; Fabales; Fabaceae. The record is from RefSeq and is a predicted model, not a curated record.
ACAAAGCAAGGAUGAUGAAUCAAUUAGAUGUGUGAAAGGAAAUUUCCUUUCUGAACUCAAUUUUUGAGGCAUAUAUGUAUAAAUCUGACUUGCUCUUU